AUAGGGGCUCUUAAAAAUUUUACACAAAUCCUUUUGGAGUUUGCCAAUUCCAUUUUUAACUCUUGUAAAAGUUCCUUAUUUUACUCGAACACCAUCUACAUAAGAUUCGACUGCACGAUAUUAGCACAAACUAAAUAAACUUUUAUUGCAACAUAUAAGAUAACUUUAAAGUGAUUCUUACAUUCAAGAAUAUUAGCCUUUUUGUGACUUUUAAUAACAAGAGUGGAAUAAGAUUACACAGAAAGAGAGGAGCAAUAUAUAUAAACAUGAUCAAAAAUUUUCUUUGUAUGUAAACUCAAGAGGCAAAAAUGAGAAGCAAACAAAGGCUGCUACUACUUGUGCUCAUGCCACUCCUUUUCCUUUGCAUUCAUCAACUAUAUGCAACUUCUCUAGGAGGAAGAAGGGUGGCCCACGCCGAAAGUGUCGGCGGCGGCAGUCCGGUGGUUUCGGGAGGAGAUGGCGGCUCACACGUCCCUAGUGGUGGUGGUGUGACUCCGGUGUAUGCAGCAGCGGGUGCAGGAAACAACCACCACCCUCACCGCGGAGGAGGAAACCGUGACAGAGGCAGGGCGGCGCCAGAGGCCUUGGCCGUGAUUACAUUUGCAUGCUUUCUAUUUUGUACUAGUAUUAAUUAAACAGUGUUUUUGAAAUUGUAACAAACAAAAAUGGUGUGUGUGUGUGUGUGUGUUUAUUGUACCGUGUAUCAAUUUGUGUAUAAUAUACCGUAAUGUAUAAUACUCCUGUGUUUCUUCGUUCUGCCAA
This is a long non-coding RNA of Salvia splendens (bonfire salvia), 762 nucleotides long. RefSeq lists it as uncharacterized. The record is from RefSeq and is a predicted model, not a curated record. The transcript is spliced from 2 exons. Lineage: Eukaryota; Viridiplantae; Streptophyta; Magnoliopsida; Lamiales; Lamiaceae.